ACCUGGGUGGCUCAGUGGUUGAGCAUCUGCCUUUGGCUCAGGUCGUGAUCCUGGGGUACUGGGUUCAAGUCCCACAUCAGGUU
RNAcentral lists this transfer RNA (83 nucleotides) under Canis lupus familiaris (dog). It matches the Rfam family "tRNA". Rfam says of the family: Transfer RNA (tRNA) molecules are approximately 80 nucleotides in length. Their secondary structure includes four short double-helical elements and three loops (D, anti-codon, and T loops). Further hydrogen bonds mediate the characteristic L-shaped molecular structure. tRNAs have two regions of fundamental functional importance: the anti-codon, which is responsible for specific mRNA codon recognition, and the 3' end, to which the tRNAs corresponding amino acid is attached (by aminoacyl-tRNA synthetases). tRNAs cope with the degeneracy of the genetic code in two manners: having more than one tRNA (with a specific anti-codon) for a particular amino acid; and 'wobble' base-pairing, i.e. permitting non-standard base-pairing at the 3rd anti-codon position. The record is from Rfam by way of RNAcentral. Lineage: Eukaryota; Metazoa; Chordata; Mammalia; Carnivora; Canidae.